RNAcentral lists this transfer RNA (87 nucleotides) under Alphaproteobacteria bacterium. RNAcentral's name for it is "tRNA-Leu". It matches the Rfam family "tRNA". From Rfam's summary of the family: Transfer RNA (tRNA) molecules are approximately 80 nucleotides in length. Lineage: Bacteria; Pseudomonadati; Pseudomonadota; Alphaproteobacteria. The record is from RNAcentral.
GCCCAGGUGGCGGAAUUGGUAGACGCGCUAGAUUCAGGUUCUAGUGAGCGAGAGUUUGUGGAAGUUCGAGUCUUCUCCUGGGCACCA